RNAcentral lists this ribosomal RNA (324 nucleotides) under Bradyrhizobium japonicum. RNAcentral's name for it is "bacterial LSU rRNA". It matches the Rfam family "Bacterial large subunit ribosomal RNA", at positions 1 to 210 of the family's 2925-position model. The record is from RNAcentral. Lineage: Bacteria; Pseudomonadati; Pseudomonadota; Alphaproteobacteria; Hyphomicrobiales; Nitrobacteraceae.
AAUCAAGUGCCUUAAGGGUGUUCGGUGGAUGCCUUGGCGCUGAGAGGCGAUGAAGGACGUGCUACGCUGCGAUAAGCCGUGGGGAGAUGAGAAGAAUAUCUGAUCCAGGGAUUUAAGAAAGGGGAAACCCACGGUCGAUAGCCGGAACUCCAAGACCGAUGUCGAAAGACAUCGGUGUGGGGUUCGAUCAGAUGAUGUGAGACGCCUAGACCUUUAGAUUUCGAUCGAAGAGGUUUUGGAUUUCCGGUUAUCAAGAGAAGGUAUGAGAUUCUGAAUAUAUAGUGGGUUUCACCCAAACCCAGGGAACUGAAACAUCUAAGUACC